Molecule: long non-coding RNA, 2871 nt
Filed under: Marmota monax (woodchuck)
Lineage: Eukaryota; Metazoa; Chordata; Mammalia; Rodentia; Sciuridae
Source: RNAcentral
ACCGCGACCGCGGACGCUGCUGCUGAGGCGCCCGAGCACAGCGGGCCGCGGCUCCCGGGGACCCCAGGAGGGCUGCUCCGUGCAGCUUCAUUCACAAAAAAGGGCCCACAACCCUCCUCGGGGCCCGCAACCGAGGCCUCUCAUUGGCCAGGGCUGCGUGACGUCACGGAGACGGGGCCUUUCUACAGGCAGGUACCCGGUGACGCCAUAAAGAAAAGUCUGAGCGGUUUCACCAAUCAGAGAGAAGGUGUGCCCACGACCCCUCGGGCUGCCCACUAACUUUUGUCCAUGUGUCCUGCGGGUGCCCGCAUCCCGGCUCCUGGCUUCCUGCUGUGAGUCCCCAAGCCCUGCGCAGCCCUGCCCUGGUGACUCACGCCAGGUCUUUGACAUGUAUAUGUUUGAAAUAUUUCUUGGUUUUCCUUGUAAUUCGCGCCAAGCGAAGGAGGCUCUUGCCAUGGCUGCCGGAGGGAAGAGUGUGGACUGCCCCAACUGUCCGCAGUUGAGUGGCCUUAAGGUGGAGUCCAUCUCAAAACUUAACCACUUCCACCAGCCGCGAGCUGUGGACCUGCGUACGCCCAGCGUUCAAAAGACCCCCGGGGCCGCGGCGCUGACGGAACCGGGUGGGAACACGACGGACCUCAGGGUUUGCACCUCCAGCGCCUCAUCCCGGGACCCGGGACCGCCUUAACUCGGUGGUUUUCUACACGGUUGCUGUGGAAGUCAGAGGUGUCCACAGGCCCGGUUGUACUGUGAAGCAUUGCAGCAAGUUGCAAACUCAGCUCUUCAACUUUUUCUUGAAAAUUGUAGGGUCGCAUCCCCUUCUUUUCCUUCUGGGUUAAAACACUGGCUGAUCUUUGGAACUUAACCGCGGUUCUCAUUUUGGAGGGCCUUAAAACGAAUGUCCGCGACAGCGUCCAACAGGGCGAGACUUUGGAAGGCAAUCUUCCUAGAAUCCGCGGCCCCAAGUUCUACAUCCACAAGCUGUUCCUAUUUUUCACCCGCAUUUUUACAGCUUUUCCGGCAGCUCAGCGAUUACUGCCCGGCUUUGGAAGAGAAUAAGGUUUUCAGUGCGUCCUCCCGGGAAGCCUCUCAGAAAUGUAGAUUUCCCCAGUGCCUCAGGGAGGGGCUACUUGACUUCUAUUGUUGUGGAUUUCCCUUAAGUCCUGCUAAAUAAGGAAGGAGGGGACUGAGCGACGGUUUCCGCUGCCUGGAACUAGAGAUCACCACUGCUUAAUUUGUGUUUGUUAAGCUUAAUGCUCGGGUGCUUUCUUCCCCUGUUUCCCCAAAGGAAAUAGUGAAGGCCUUAGAUCUAAAAUGGCCUAAGCGGUUUGCCUAAGGGGCCUGUGGAGCGCUGGGUUCGUGAGCCCUGGUGGGCUGAAACCUUGGGGUCACAGGCCUCUGUUUUGGAGGCCUUUCAUACUGUUCUAGGACUCGGUGGUAGAAAAGGCCAAGUGUCCCAGACAACCAGGAAUUUUCAAAGAAUAAGUCUUGGUUUGAAUAGAUAAUACCUAGGAGUUAUCCCGAUGUGGAAAUACAGCAUCCCACAGUGAUCUGGUUUUUGAGAGUGGCUUACCUAAAUGUCAAGCUAACACCGAGUGCUAACAAGUUCCCUUAAUGCCAGUUCAUUUUCUCUCACUUUCAAACAAUGUUUGGGCUAGACAGAAUGCAUGUGAUUUAAAUAAAAGGAAAAGGUCAUUAAUUCAGUUAGUUAUAUCAUUUAAAUAUUUUCACAUUUUGCAAAUAUAUAAUUUUAUGUUUUUUCCAUAUAAUAAGUAUCAUCAAAAAACAAGGAAUAUUAGGUGCUGGGGUCUAGCUUAGUAGUAAGCAUUCUCCAGCAUGUAGGAGGCCCUGGGUUACAUCCCCAGUACUGGUCAUAGUGGAUAAACAAGAUAUAUCAAUUACAUUUUGUGAUUAUGCAGCCGUAUAUUCUAGGAAUAAAAGUCCAAUGCUAGGUGUAUUUGGGGCUAGGAUUGUGGCUCAGUGGUAGAGCACUUGCCUAGCACCUGUGAGGCCCUGGACACCAAAUAAAGAUAAACAAAGAUAUUGUGUCCAUCUUUUUAAAUAUUUUUAAAAAUAUUUUUUAAAAAAACGUUUUGUUUUGGUACCAGGAAUUGAACCCAGGGGCAAUUUACCACUGAGCCACAUCUGCAGCUCUUUUUAUUUUUUAUUUUGAGACAGGGUCUCACUAAAUUGCUGAGGCUGAAUUGAACCUACAAUCCUCCUGCCUCAGCCUCCCAAGCAGCUGGGAUUACAGGCAUGGGCCAUCAGGCCAGCUAUUUAUGAAAGUUUUAAGUCCUCUUUAUAUUUGUUCUUAGGUCAUGUUUAGAUUCUGUCAGAAAAAGUGCUAUUUCUUAGCUAUUUUGUGUGUGAGGACUUCCUUGGAACAAUUUAACUCCCCUCUUCAAUAAGUUGACCUCUAGGCUGAGAGUUUUUUUUUUUUAAAGAGAGAGUGAGAGAGAGAGAAUUUUUUAAUAUUUAUUUUUUAGUUCUCGGCGGACACAACAUCUUUGUUUGUAUGUGGUGCUGAGGAUCAAACCCGGACCGCACGCAUGCCAGGCAAGCGCGCCACCACUUGAGCCACAUCCCCAGCCCUAGGCUGAGAAUUUGAUCACAGGAAAUUUGAGUUUGUACUUUAGUAAUAGAAUUUUAGAGCCUGAAAGCACCCAGGACAAUAUGUGGUCCAAGGCUGCCCUUUCACAGUGAGCACCAGGGAACACAGAUGCCAGGCCCAGAGGAGGCCCUAAUGCCCUCUCCCAGUCUCUCUCCAGGAGUCCUCUUUCCAGGAGUUGUCUGAGCUUAGAGAACUGGCAUCUGGUUGUGCUUCUCAGAUUCUCAACAGUAUGGGCAACCAGCACCCUGAAAAGCAAGAGG